RNAcentral lists this ribosomal RNA (361 nucleotides) under uncultured bacterium. RNAcentral's name for it is "bacterial SSU rRNA". It matches the Rfam family "Bacterial small subunit ribosomal RNA", at positions 335 to 687 of the family's 1533-position model. The record is from RNAcentral.
ACUCCUACGGGAGGCAGCAGUGGGGAAUAUUGCACAAUGGGCGCAAGCCUGAUGCAGCCAUGCCGCGUGUGUGAAGAAGGCCUUCGGGUUGUAAAGCACUUUCAGUCGUGAGGAAGGUAGUGUAGUUAAUAGCUGCAUUAUUUGUACGUUAGCGACAGAAGAAGCACCGGCUAACUCCGUGCCAGCAGCCGCGGUAAUACGGAGGGUGCGAGCGUUAAUCGGAAUUACUGGGCGUAAAGCGCAUGCAGGUGGUUUGUUAAGUCAGAUGUGAAAGCCCGGGGCUCAACCUCGGAAUAGCAUUUGAAACUGGCAGACUAGAGUACUGUAGAGGGGGGUAGAAUUUCAGGUGUAGCGGUGAAAU